ACUCCUACGGGAGGCAGCAGUGGGGAAUUUUGCGCAAUGGGCGAAAGCCUGACGCAGCAACGCCGCGUGAGUGAUGAAGGCUUUCGGGUCGUAAAGCUCUGUCGAGGGGAAAGAAGUGUAUUGCGGUUAAUACCCGCUUUACUUGACGGUACCCCUAAAGGAAGCACCGGCUAACUCCGUGCCAGCAGCCGCGGUAAUACGGGGGGUGCAAGCGUUGUUCGGAAUUAUUGGGCGUAAAGCGCGUGUAGGCGGUCUGAUUAGUCUGAUGUGAAAGCCCUGGGCUCAACCCGGGAAGUGCAUUGGAUACUGUCAGACUUGAAUACGGGAGAGGGUAGUGGAAUUCCUAGUGUAGGAGUGAAAUCCGUAGAUAUUAGGAGGAACACCGGUGGCGAAGGCGGCUACCUGGACCGAUAUUGACGCUGAGACGCGAAAGCGUGGGUAGCAAACAGGAUUAGAUACCCUGGUAGUCCACGCCGUAAACGAUGAGUACUAGGUGUUGCGGGUAUUGACCCCUGCAGUGCCGCAGCUAACGCAUUAAGUACUCCGCCUGGGAA
This 554-nucleotide ribosomal RNA is filed under the name uncultured bacterium. RNAcentral describes it as "bacterial SSU rRNA". It matches the Rfam family "Bacterial small subunit ribosomal RNA", at positions 335 to 879 of the family's 1533-position model. The record is from RNAcentral.